AUUGAACGCUGGCGGCAGGCCUAACACAUGCAAGUCGAGCGGAUGAAGGGAGCUUGCUCCUGGAUUCAGCGGCGGACGGGUGAGUAAUGCCUAGGAAUCUGCCUGGUAGUGGGGGAUAACGUCCGGAAACGGGCGCUAAUACCGCAUACGUCCUGAGGGAGAAAGUGGGGGAUCUUCGGACCUCACGCUAUCAGAUGAGCCUAGGUCGGAUUAGCUAGUUGGUGGGGUAAAGGCCUACCAAGGCGACGAUCCGUAACUGGUCUGAGAGGAUGAUCAGUCACACUUGAACUGAGACACGGUCCAGACUCCUACGGGAGGCAGCAGUGGGGAAUAUUGGACCAUGGGCGAAAGCCUGAUCCAGCCAUGCCGCGUGUGUGAAGAAGGGCUUCGGAUUUUAAAGCACUUUAAGUUGGGAGGAAGGGCAGUAAGUUAAUACCUUGCUGUUUUGACGUUACCAACAGAAUAAGCACCGGCUAACUUCGUG
This 484-nucleotide ribosomal RNA is filed under the name uncultured bacterium. RNAcentral's name for it is "partial 16S ribosomal RNA". It matches the Rfam family "Bacterial small subunit ribosomal RNA", at positions 30 to 507 of the family's 1533-position model. The record is from RNAcentral.